Molecule: ribosomal RNA, 253 nt
Filed under: uncultured bacterium
Lineage: Bacteria
Description: partial 16S ribosomal RNA
Rfam family: Bacterial small subunit ribosomal RNA
Source: RNAcentral
GACAGAGGGUGCAAACGUUGCUCGGAAUUACUGGGCGUAAAGCGUGCGCAGGCGGUGAUGUAAGACAGGUGUGAAAUCCCCGGGCUUAACCUGGGAACUGCAUUUGUGACUGCAUCGCUGGAGUGCGGCAGAGGGGGAUGGAAUUCCGCGUGUAGCAGUGAAAUGCGUAGAUAUGCGGAGGAACACCGAUGGCGAAGGCAAUCCCCUGGGCCUGCACUGACGCUCAUGCACGAAAGCGUGGGGAGCAAACAGG